AUACGGAGGACGCGAGCGUUAUCUGGAUUCAUUGGGUUUAAAGGGUGCGCAGGCGGCCGUGCAAGUCAGCGGUGAAAGCCCGGGGCUCAACCCCGGAAGUGCCGUUGAUACUGCAUGGCUGGAAUGCGGUCGAGGCGGGCGGAACGUGGCGUGUAGCGGGGAAAUGCGUAGAUAUGCCACAGAACGCCGAUAGCGGAGGCAGCUCGCCAGGCCUGCAUUGACGCUCGGGCACGAAAGCGUGGGGAUCGAACAGGAUUAGAUACCCUGGUAGUCCGCACAGUAAACGAUGGAUACUCGCUGUCGGCGAUAUACGGUCGGUGGCCAAGCGAAAGCGUUAAGUAUCCCACCUGGGGAGUACGCCGGCAACGGUGAAACUUAAAGGAAUUGGCGGGG
This 393-nucleotide ribosomal RNA is filed under the name uncultured bacterium. Its description in RNAcentral is "partial 16S ribosomal RNA". It matches the Rfam family "Bacterial small subunit ribosomal RNA", at positions 523 to 918 of the family's 1533-position model. The record is from RNAcentral.